This 72-nucleotide transfer RNA is filed under the name Camelus bactrianus (Bactrian camel). It matches the Rfam family "tRNA". From Rfam's summary of the family: Transfer RNA (tRNA) molecules are approximately 80 nucleotides in length. Their secondary structure includes four short double-helical elements and three loops (D, anti-codon, and T loops). Further hydrogen bonds mediate the characteristic L-shaped molecular structure. tRNAs have two regions of fundamental functional importance: the anti-codon, which is responsible for specific mRNA codon recognition, and the 3' end, to which the tRNAs corresponding amino acid is attached (by aminoacyl-tRNA synthetases). tRNAs cope with the degeneracy of the genetic code in two manners: having more than one tRNA (with a specific anti-codon) for a particular amino acid; and 'wobble' base-pairing, i.e. permitting non-standard base-pairing at the 3rd anti-codon position. The record is from Rfam by way of RNAcentral. Lineage: Eukaryota; Metazoa; Chordata; Mammalia; Artiodactyla; Camelidae. RNAcentral also lists the same sequence under 1 other name.
GAGGGUAUACCUCAGUGGUAGAGCACUUGCCUGGCAUGCAUGAAGUCCUGGGUUCAAUCCCCGGUACCUCCA